GGUCUGACCAAUAAUCCCCAAAGGAAAAGUUUGGCUGUAACUCUGGCAUGUUGCCAUUCUUCUCAAUUUCCAACUUCUGUGAAUGCUCUUCAGUUGCAGUGCAGUCAUCAAGGUGCUUUAUCCUCUUAUUUGAUGGCUCAAUUUGAGGUGUAGUUGUUACGUUUGGGGAACAAUAAUGUGCGUGUGCCACUUCUGGCGCAGCCUUGAGCUGCUGAGAAGCUCCCACUGCAAACUUGUCCAGAGAAACCACAUCCAGAACAGCUUCAUCUUUACUAGAUUUUUUAGCUGUUCUACCUGUCAUUUUAAAAGCACGCACAUUGGAGAUUGAGCUGCCCAUUGGUUCACUUUCAAGCUCUGAAAAUUGUUCUGGAGAUUGACGAGGCAAAUGAAGCUUUGUACUAUUUUUGCAUUUGCCUGAGUUGAUCAGCGUUUUUCCAUUGCUACUUCUAUCAAUUGUUUUCAUGAGCGAGUUCCUCUCAUGUAUGAUAUCAGAAGCAGGAGUUGAAAGCAGCUCAUUUUCAGCAGUAAUCUCAACAGGUAUUUCACCUGUAAGAGUCUUG
RNAcentral lists this unclassified non-coding RNA (560 nucleotides) under Hevea brasiliensis (rubber tree). Lineage: Eukaryota; Viridiplantae; Streptophyta; Magnoliopsida; Malpighiales; Euphorbiaceae. The record is from RNAcentral.